Molecule: ribosomal RNA, 497 nt
Filed under: uncultured bacterium
Lineage: Bacteria
Description: partial 16S ribosomal RNA
Rfam family: Bacterial small subunit ribosomal RNA
Source: RNAcentral
GAUGAACGCUGGCGGCGUGCCUAAUACAUGCAAGUCGAGCGAACGGACGAGAAGCUUGCUUCUCUGAUGUUAGCGGCGGACGGGUGAGUAACACGUGGAUAACCUACCUAUAAGACUGGGAUAACUUCGGGAAACCGGAGCUAAUACCGGAUAAUAUUUUGAACCGCAUGGUUCAAAAGUGAAAGACGGUCUUGCUGUCACUUAUAGAUGGAUCCGCGCUGCAUUAGCUAGUUGGUAAGGUAACGGCUUACCAAGGCAACGAUGCAUAGCCGACCUGAGAGGGUGAUCGGCCACACUGGAACUGAGACACGGUCCAGACUCCUACGGGAGGCAGCAGAAGGGAAUCUUCCGCAAUGGGCGAAAGCCUGACGGAGCAACGCCGCGUGAGUGAUGAAGGUCUUCGGAUCGUAAAACUCUGUUAUUAGGGAAGAACAUAUGUGUAAGUAACUGUGCACAUCUUGACGGUACCUAAUCAGAAAGCCACGGCUAACUACGUG